UCGAGGGGUAACAGGAAAGCUUGCUUUUGCUGACGACCGGCGCACGGGUGCGUAACGCGUAUGCAACCUACCUCAUACUGGAGGAUAGCCCCUGGAAACGGGGAUUAAUACUCCAUAGUAUCACGAAUUCGCAUGUUUUUGUGAUUAAAGUUUUUCGGUAUGAGUUGGGCAUGCGUCCCAUUAGCUUGUUGGUGAGGUAACGGCUCACCAAGGCAACGAUGGGUAGGGGGCCUGAGAGGGUGGUCCCCCACACUGGUACUGAGACACGGACCAGACUCCUACGGGAGGCAGCAGUGAGGAAUAUUGGUCAAUGGAGGCAACUCUGAACCAGCCAUGCCGCGUGAAGGAUGACGGCCCUAUGGGUUGUAAACUUCUUUUAUAGAGGAAGAAACUUGUCUACGUGUAGACAACUGACGGUACUCUACGAAUAAGGAUCGGCUAACUCCGUGCCAGCAGCCGCGGUAAUACGGAGGAUCCAAGCGUUAUCCGGAUUCAUUGGGUUUAAAGGGUCCGUAGGCGGGUCUUUAAGUCAGUGGUGAAAGCCGACAGCUCANCUGUCGAACUGCCAUUGAUACUGGAGAACCUUGAGUACAAAUGAAGUAGGCGGAAUGAGUCAUGUAGCGGUGAAAUGCAUA
Molecule: ribosomal RNA, 635 nt
Filed under: uncultured bacterium
Lineage: Bacteria
Description: bacterial SSU rRNA
Rfam family: Bacterial small subunit ribosomal RNA
Source: RNAcentral